This 603-nucleotide unclassified non-coding RNA is filed under the name Melitaea cinxia (Glanville fritillary). Its description in RNAcentral is "misc RNA ENSMCXG00005004724.1". The record is from RNAcentral. Lineage: Eukaryota; Metazoa; Arthropoda; Insecta; Lepidoptera; Nymphalidae.
CAAGUUACCGACACAUAAACAAAGUUUGAAUUGCAAUUAAUAAAUAAAAUCAAUAACAAAAUAAAGUACAUCGACUAAUCGGAUAUAUUCAUUAUCACGUAACACCGGGUAAAAGUGAAAGUUAGUUAUUAGUAAAACGUGACAAAUAUUGAUAAAGAGACAUAAACAAAGAAGCAAUAAGGUAUACCAUGGAUAAGUAGCAUUUUCUUCCUUGUUCUCAUUUCCAUCUGGUCGCAUUGCCCCGAAAUAGCCUCGAUUUGAGUUUGCAGACUUUCAAGCGCACACAAUACAAACGAGCGAAACGCAGUGAAUUGAGCAGCUAUGUGGGAGACGGGGCUUGAUGGUGGAGUUGAAGCAAUCUGAAGAUCCUUUUGAAACUCAGCCAUUCUGAUAUUAAACGUCUGGGCCAUCUCAGUUAUCGACUGCUUUAUUGACUCCAUGAUGUUUAAAGGAAGAUUUAUGAGGUCUAAAGAUUGAUAGAUCUUGUAAUUUAUUAUUAUAAGGAUUUUAGCUGGUGUACAGGGGAUCUCAAUAUAUCAUUAUAUUAACGAAAAAUAAACAAAAAUCACUAAUUUAAGUAAAUAAAUACAGAGCAAACAAAAU